UGGAUCCAGACCUUUAUUAUGGCUCAGGAUGAACGCUAGCUACAGGCUUAACACAUGCAAGUCGAGGGGCAGCGGGAUUGAAGCUUGCUUCAAUUGCCGGCGACCGGCGCACGGGUGAGUAACGCGUAUCCAACCUUCCGUACACUCAGGGAUAGCCUUUCGAAAGAAAGAUUAAUACCUGAUGGUAUGAUGAGAUUGCAUGAUAGCAUCAUUAAAGAUUUAUCGGUGUACGAUGGGGAUGCGUUCCAUUAGGUAGUAGGCGGGGUAACGGCCCACCUAGCCAACGAUGGAUAGGGGUUCUGAGAGGAAGGUCCCCCACAUUGGAACUGAGACACGGUCCAAACUCCUACGGGAGGCAGCAGUGAGGAAUAUUGGUCAAUGGACGAGAGUCUGAACCAGCCAAGUAGCGUGAAGGAUGAAGGUCCUACGGAUUGUAAACUUCUUUUAUAAGGGAAUAAACCCUCCCACGUGUGGGAGCUUGUAUGUACCUUAUGAAUAAGCAUCGGCUAACUCCGUGCCAGCAGCCGCGGUAAUACGGAGGAUGCGAGCGUUAUCCGGAUUUAUUGGGUUUAAAGGGAGCGCAGACGGGUCGCUAAGUCAGCUGUGAAAGUUUGGGGCUCAACCUUAAAAUUGCAGUUGAUACUGGCGUCCUUGAGUGCGGUUGAGGUGUGCGGAAUUCGUGGUGUAGCGGUGAAGUGCUUAGAUAUCACGAAGAACUCCGAUUGCGAAGGCAGCACACUAAUCCGUAACUGACGUUCAUGCUCGAAAGUGUGGGUAUCAAACAGGAUUAGAUACCCUGGUAGUCCACACGGUAAACGAUGGAUACUCGCUGUUGGCGAUAUACUGUCAGCGGCUUAGCGAAAGCGUUAAGUAUCCCACCUGGGGAGUACGCCGGCAACGGUGCAACUCAAAUGAAUUGACGGA
Molecule: ribosomal RNA, 924 nt
Filed under: uncultured bacterium
Lineage: Bacteria
Also listed under: 1 other name
Description: bacterial SSU rRNA
Rfam family: Bacterial small subunit ribosomal RNA
Source: RNAcentral